Molecule: ribosomal RNA, 466 nt
Filed under: uncultured Desulfococcus sp.
Lineage: Bacteria; Pseudomonadati; Thermodesulfobacteriota; Desulfobacteria; Desulfobacterales; Desulfococcaceae
Description: bacterial SSU rRNA
Rfam family: Bacterial small subunit ribosomal RNA
Source: RNAcentral
CCUACGGGUGGCAGCAGUGAGGAAUUUUGCGCAAUGGGGGAAACCCUGACGCAGCAACGCCGCGUGAGUGAUGAAGGCCUUCGGGUCGUAAAGCUCUGUCAAGUGGGAAGAAAGUGGGGGAGUCGAACAGGCUUUUUUAUUGACGGUACCACUGAAGGAAGCACCGGCUAACUCCGUGCCAGCAGCCGCGGUAAUACGGAGGGUGCGAGCGUUAUUCGGAAUUAUUGGGCGUAAAGGGCGCGUAGGCGGCCGAAAAAGUCAGCUGUGAAAUCCCGGGGCUUAACCCCGGAAGUGCGGUUGAAACUAUUUGGCUUGAGUAUGGGAGAGGGAAGUGGAAUUCCUGGUGUAGAGGUGAAAUUCGUAGAUAUCAGGAGGAACACCGGUGGCGAAGGCGACUUCCUGGACCAAUACUGACGCUGAUGCGCGAAGGCGUGGGUAGCAAACAGGAUUAGAUACCCGGGUAGUC